AGGCGGUAUAGCCAAGCGGUAAGGCCGAGGAUUGCAAAUUCUUUAUCCCCAGUUCAAAUCUGGGUACCGCCUG
This 73-nucleotide transfer RNA is filed under the name Bostrychia moritziana. Its description in RNAcentral is "tRNA-Cys". It matches the Rfam family "tRNA". Rfam says of the family: Transfer RNA (tRNA) molecules are approximately 80 nucleotides in length. Their secondary structure includes four short double-helical elements and three loops (D, anti-codon, and T loops). The record is from RNAcentral. Lineage: Eukaryota; Rhodophyta; Florideophyceae; Ceramiales; Rhodomelaceae.